AAUAACGUUAAAUGUCGUUUUACUUUAUCUAUUUCUCUUCUACUUCUGUAUUUUAUGCAGUUAUGUCUAUUUUUAAAGAAAACUGGAGCUUCUCAUAAUGCUUUAUUGGCAAAUAAUACUUCACUAUGAAACCCUUCCCCAACCACAUCCUCCACGAGAGCAUCUAUCAAUGAAAAAUGACGUAAUGAAGUUGAUUCUCUACAGCCUGGAACUUUGUUUUGAACAAGAUUCUGAUGGUCAGUCAUGACUGAGAAUCACCCCCUUCUUCAGUGUUGGUAUUCACCAAAUUCUCUCACUUCUCACUGUCUCAGCAAUGGAUUCUGGUGGCUUAAAAGUUUUGUUUCCUGCUAGCA
This 353-nucleotide long non-coding RNA is filed under the name Macaca mulatta (Rhesus monkey). RNAcentral describes it as "lncRNA (ENSMMUG00000053300.1)". The record is from RNAcentral. Lineage: Eukaryota; Metazoa; Chordata; Mammalia; Primates; Cercopithecidae.